RNAcentral lists this transfer RNA (71 nucleotides) under Vespa velutina. Its description in RNAcentral is "tRNA-Leu". The record is from RNAcentral. RNAcentral also lists the same sequence under 2 other names. Lineage: Eukaryota; Metazoa; Arthropoda; Insecta; Hymenoptera; Vespidae.
UAUAAUAUAGCAAAUUAGUGCAUUGAUUUUAAACAUCAAACAUAAAAAAUCUUAAGAUUUUUUUAUUAUAA